Molecule: long non-coding RNA, 164 nt
Organism: Sinocyclocheilus anshuiensis
Lineage: Eukaryota; Metazoa; Chordata; Actinopteri; Cypriniformes; Cyprinidae
Exons: 2
Source: RefSeq, a predicted model, not a curated record
AGGCAGAUUCCAGCAGAAACAGAUAGAGAAUGUCUUAAGAAGAUAUAUAAAGGAGUACGUGACGUGCCACACGUGUCGGUCUCCUGACACAAUCUUGCAGAAGGACACGCGUCUGUAUUUCCUGCAGUGUGAGACGUGUCACUCCCGCUGCUCCGUCGCCAGCA